GCCGAAGUGGUGAAAUUGGUAGACACGCUACCUUGAGGGGGUAGUGGGCGUGCGCCCGUGCGAGUUCGAGUCUCGCCUUCGGCACCA
RNAcentral lists this transfer RNA (87 nucleotides) under Pseudomonadales bacterium. Its description in RNAcentral is "tRNA-Leu". It matches the Rfam family "tRNA". From Rfam's summary of the family: Transfer RNA (tRNA) molecules are approximately 80 nucleotides in length. Their secondary structure includes four short double-helical elements and three loops (D, anti-codon, and T loops). Lineage: Bacteria; Pseudomonadati; Pseudomonadota; Gammaproteobacteria; Pseudomonadales. The record is from RNAcentral.